This 480-nucleotide long non-coding RNA is filed under the name Homo sapiens (human). Its description in RNAcentral is "HSALNT0291358". Lineage: Eukaryota; Metazoa; Chordata; Mammalia; Primates; Hominidae. The record is from RNAcentral.
ACCUUACCCCCAACCCCGUGCUCUCUGAAACAUGUGCUGUGUCCACUCAGGGUUAAAUGGAUUAAGGGCGGUACAAGAUGUGCUUUGUUAAACAGAUGCUUGAAGGCAGCAUGCUGGUUAAGAGUCAUCACCACUCCCUAAUCUCAAGUACCCAGGGACACAAACACUGCGGAAGGCCGCAGGGUCCUCUGCCUAGGAAAACCAGAGACCUUUGUUCACUUGUUUAUCUGCUGACCUUCCCUCCACUAAUGUCCUAUGACCCUGCCAAAUCCCCCUCUCCAAGAAACACCCAAGAAUGAUCAAUAAAUACUUAAAAAAAAAAAAAAAAGUAUUCUGGACAAUUCGCCAGUCAGUUGUUAGACUGUUGGUAGCUUGGCCCAGCCACGGUGCAAUAUUUACACCAUGAGCAUUGGCAAUGGCUACGGCUCAGAGCUCUGAAUUUUUCUGGAGAGCUGGUUUGUCACCUCACCAGGCGCUCAC